RNAcentral lists this small RNA (1243 nucleotides) under Malus domestica (apple). RNAcentral's name for it is "sRNA MD15G0203700". The record is from RNAcentral. Lineage: Eukaryota; Viridiplantae; Streptophyta; Magnoliopsida; Rosales; Rosaceae.
CGAGAUCCAAGCAAAUACACCCCAACCAAUCGACCCCCAUGACGCGGAUGCAUGACGUGGGACAAAUAUUUUGAAAUCCCGCCCAAACCCGGACUUCAAUCCUUCCAACAAAUCAAAAUUUAAUUUUCCGCCUUUUUUUCAUUUUUAUUUUUGCGCCACGGGCCUUCCCUUCCUAUCCCUUCACACCCCAGGGGCAAAUUUUACACACACUCGCACACCGCACCAACCAAAGCAAACGACCCAAAGGCUUAUCUCUCUCAUUGUUCUCUCUCUCGCCUUAUCCUCUCCCUUCACACAAAGGUUUAGCUGAACAUGGGGAAAUCAAGAGCUGCUGCUCCCAAAAAAGCCGAUGCGAAGUUGAAGACCAAAAGCUCUGGCGCGAGCAAGAAGGCUGCAAAGGAUCCGAACAAGCCUAAGAGGCCUGCGAGUGCCUUCUUCGUUUUCAUGGAGGAUUUCAGAGUGAAAUUCAAGAAGGAUCAUCCUAAUAACAAAUCUGUGGCCGCUGUCGGUAAAGCUGGUGGUGAUAAAUGGAAAUCACUUUCAGAGGCCGAGAAAGCUCCCUACAUUGCCAAGGCAGAAAAGAGGAAGGCUGAGUACACCAAGACCAUGAAUGCUUACAACAAGCGCAUAGCUGAGGGAGGUAACGGAGCGGAUGAUGAAGAGUCCGAUAAGUCCAAGUCUGAGGUGCAAAACGAGGAUGAAGAUGAUGACGAGAGUGGAGAGGAAGAAGAUGAUGACGAGUAGAGCAGGAAAGUCAGGUAUCGGAAUGAAGGAGGAGCAAUUUGUGUUAGGGUUGUUGGUUAAAAGAUAUUGAAUGACCUGCAUUUUCUGACUAAAGCUCUGUGUCUGAUGAUAAGAUAGCCACAUUUGUAGGAUUAGGGAAGGGAAAAGAAGAACACAAGGGGUUAAUGUUUCGGGACUCAUCCACCUGAUUCCCCAUAUCGUUUCUGUACUUAGUGAUCGUUUUUAUGUUCAAAUGACUUCUAUUUCGCUCUAGUUAAUAUCCUUUUUAUUAUAUGAUCGGAUUAAAUUGCCUUGAGCAUUUUGAAAUGGUUAUGACCUUUAGAGAUGAACUUACCUAGAACAUGGUUGUCACGUUGUUCGUAUUUUGAGCUAGUAAGAGCAUGUGAUUAGCUUGGAGUACCGGCAACCAGUGAUCGUGGUUUAGGAAAGCUGUCUGGCUUAAAUUAGUUUCAGGCUUCCAAAGACUUGGGAGUGAGAAUGGCUUUGUCUGCUUCUGGGU